Molecule: ribosomal RNA, 245 nt
Filed under: uncultured bacterium
Lineage: Bacteria
Description: partial 16S ribosomal RNA
Rfam family: Bacterial small subunit ribosomal RNA
Source: RNAcentral
GACAGAGGGUGCAAGCGUUGUUCGGAAUUACUGGGCGUAAAGCGCGUGUAGGCCGUUCUGUGUGUCAGAUGUGAAAUCCCCGGGCUCAACCCGGGACGUGCAUUUGAAACUGCAGAACUUGAGUAUGGGAGAGGGAAGCGGAAUUCCCGGUGUAGAAGUGAAAUUCGUAGAUAUCGGGAGGAACACCAGUGGCGAAGGCGGCUUCCUGGACCAUAACUGACGCUGAGACGCGAAAGCGUGGGUAG